UACAGAGGGUGCAAGCGUUAAUCGGAAUUACUGGGCGUAAAGCGCGCGCAGGCGGUUUUGUAAGUUUGUCGUGAAAGCCCCGGGCUCAACCUGGGAAUUGCGAUGAAGACUGCAAGGCUUGAAUCUGGCAGAGGGGGGUAGGAAUUCCACGUGUAGCAGUGAAAUGCGUAGAGAUGUGGAGGAACACCGAUGGCGGAGGCAGCCCCCUGGGUCAAGAUUGACGCUCAUGCACGAAAGCGUGGGGAGCAAACAGGAUUAGAAACCCC
Molecule: ribosomal RNA, 266 nt
Filed under: uncultured bacterium
Lineage: Bacteria
Description: partial 16S ribosomal RNA
Rfam family: Bacterial small subunit ribosomal RNA
Source: RNAcentral